GACCAUCUUUGAUCAACGAGCUAGUCAAAAAGAGGCUCACUAGGGACAGUGUGUUGUCUAUGUAUCCACACAUGUAUUUGAGUUUCCAAUCAAUACAAUUCUAGCAUGGAUAAUAAACGAUUAUCAUGAACAACGAAAUAUAAUAAUAACCAAUUUAUUAUUGCCUCUAGGACAUAUUUCCAACAAAGACGGAGGAGAUCGAGGCCGCCGCCGACACUUGCUGUCCCGACGCUCUCCGACCUAAACCUCCGAGCGCUGGAAGUGGAGGAGGAGGAGCACCAGGAAGCAGCGCCGCUGUCCACCCUCCCAACGCCCUCCACGGAAGCUCGUGUGCUACUACGUCGCUUCGCAUCAGCCAUUGUUGUCCGUCCCGCUGCAAUCCGCACCGGCACUAGGUCGCCCGAGGCACUCGGCCUCACCGGCCGUGUUGCAGACCUCCACGUCCACUAGGCCGCCUCCAACCUCCCCUCCUCCUCUGCGGAAGGGUCGCUUGGCCACUGAUGGAGACGAUUGUGGGCGCUGACGUGGAGCAGGACGAGUUGCAGAAAUGUUCUGGGAG
This 559-nucleotide long non-coding RNA is filed under the name Hordeum vulgare. RNAcentral describes it as "long non-coding RNA (HVUL_LNC018624)". The record is from RNAcentral. Lineage: Eukaryota; Viridiplantae; Streptophyta; Magnoliopsida; Poales; Poaceae.